ACAAGUAGUCAGAGCCCGUUAAUGGGUGAUGGCGUGCCUUUUGUAGAAUGAACCGGCGAGUUACGAUUUGAUGCAAGGUUAAGCAGUAAAUGUGGAGCCGUAGCGAAAGCGAGUCUGAAUAGGGCGUUUAGUAUUUGGUCGUAGACCCGAAACCAGGUGAUCUACCCUUGGUCAGGUUGAAGUUCAGGUAACACUGAAUGGAGGACCGAACCGACUUACGUUGAAAAGUGAGCGGAUGAACUGAGGGUAGCGGAGAAAUUCCAAUCGAACCUGGAGAUAGCUGGUUCUCUCCGAAAUAGCUUUAGGGCUAGCCUCAAGUGAUGAUUAUUGGAGGUAGAGCACUGUUUGGACGAGGGGCCCCUCUCGGGUUACCGAAUUCAGACAAACUCCGAAUGCCAAUUAAUUUAACUUGGGAGUCAGAACAUGGGUGAUAAGGUCCGUGUUCGAAAGGGAAACAGCCCAGACCACCAGCUAAGGUCCCAAAAUAUAUGUUAAGUGGAAAAGGAUGUGGCGUUGCCCAGACAACUAGGAUGUUGGCUUAGAAGCAGCCAUCAUUUAAAGAGUGCGUAAUAGCUCACUAGUCGAGU
This 587-nucleotide ribosomal RNA is filed under the name Staphylococcus aureus. RNAcentral describes it as "partial 23S ribosomal RNA". It matches the Rfam family "Bacterial large subunit ribosomal RNA", at positions 566 to 1154 of the family's 2925-position model. The record is from RNAcentral. Lineage: Bacteria; Bacillati; Bacillota; Bacilli; Caryophanales; Staphylococcaceae.